This 493-nucleotide ribosomal RNA is filed under the name uncultured bacterium. Its description in RNAcentral is "partial 16S ribosomal RNA". It matches the Rfam family "Bacterial small subunit ribosomal RNA", at positions 28 to 506 of the family's 1533-position model. The record is from RNAcentral.
GACGAACGCUGGCGGCGUGCUUAACACAUGCAAGUCGAACGGUGAAGCGCCUUCCUUUUUGGUGGGUGUGGAUGAGUGGCGAACGGGUGAGUAACACGUGAGUAACCUGCCCCCUUCUUCUGGAUAACCGCAUGAAAGUGUGGCUAAUACGGGAUAUUCUGGGUCUGUCGCAUGAUGGGUCUGGGAAAGAUAUUGUUUCGGUGGGGGAUGGGCUCGCGGCCUAUCAGCUUGUUGGUGGGGUGAUGGCCUACCAAGGCGGUGACGGGUAGCCGGCCUGAGAGGGUGGACGGUCACACUGGGACUGAGACACGGCCCAGACUCCUACGGGAGGCAGCAGUGGGGAAUAUUGCACAAUGGGCGCAAGCCUGAUGCAGCGACGCCGCGUGAGGGAUGGAGGCCUUCGGGUUGUGAACCUCUUUCGCCAGUGAAGCAGGCCUGCCUCGUUUGUGGGUGGGUUGACGGUAGCUGGAUAAGAAGCGCCGGCCAACUACGU